This 253-nucleotide ribosomal RNA is filed under the name uncultured bacterium. RNAcentral describes it as "partial 16S ribosomal RNA". It matches the Rfam family "Bacterial small subunit ribosomal RNA", at positions 524 to 776 of the family's 1533-position model. The record is from RNAcentral.
UACAGAGGUCUCAAGCGUUGUUCGGAUUCAUUGGGCGUAAAGGGUGUGUAGGUGGCGCGCUAAGUCGGGUGUGAAAUUUCGGAGCUUAACUCCGAAACUGCAUUCGAUACUGGCGUGCUUGAGGACUGGAGAGGAGACUGGAAUUCAUGGUGUAGCAGUGAAAUGCGUAGAGAUCAUGAGGAAGACCAGUGGCGAAGGCGGGUCUCUGGACAGUUCCUGACACUGAGACACGAAAGCGUGGGGAGCAAACAGG